This is a long non-coding RNA of Manis pentadactyla (Chinese pangolin), 2354 nucleotides long. RefSeq lists it as uncharacterized. Lineage: Eukaryota; Metazoa; Chordata; Mammalia; Pholidota; Manidae. The record is from RefSeq and is a predicted model, not a curated record. The transcript has 5 exons.
GAGAAGACCGAGCGCAGCAUCUGGAUGCCGAGUGGAAGGAGAGCAUCUUGAACAGACACACCAACCUAUUGGAUUCUGGUCACAACCAUGGAAAGGAGCAGAGGUCUUCUAACACCUUGAUAGAGAAGCAACCGGCUGGUGUGUACCGCACCUUGCUGGCAACAGAGCCCACCACCAGAACAGCUCCGACCAAGGUAAUGGCCAUUUAUCCCAUUGCAGGGGUGGGUAAGAGACUGGACCCAAAGGCCACAGAGUGACGUGGCACAGACACCUACACUGGCCAAAUGGGGAGCAUAUUUAUAGCAGUAUAGUGUCCUCUUUACUAGCCCCUUAAGUGGAGAACUCCAACGCUUACUGGGGCCAGUGAUCUAUAUCAGUGGAAAGCAGGAAGAAAUUGCUUUUGAGCCCUUGGUAGCUGAGAGCCCUUAUCAGGAGGGAAAAGUCCCUAUACCUGAAGAUGCUUGGUACACAGACACCUCCAGUUAUGGGCAGCCCCCGAAGUGGAGGGCUGUGGCUUUCCAUUCUAAGACUGAGGCAAUAUGGCUGGAGGAUGGAGAGGGGAAGAGCAGCCAAUGGACUGAGCUGCAGGCAGUAUGGCUCAUGAUCACCCAGGAGCCCUCCCCUAUAGUUGUCUGCACUGACAGCUGGGCCAUCUUAUUGGGGCUUGACGCUGUGGCUACUGACAUGGUAUCAUGCCAACUGGAUGGCUGGUCACCAGCCCCUUUGGAGGCAAGAGUUGUGGCAAGACUCAUGGGCCUCUGGUCAGACUGAGGCAGUUACCACAUAUCAUGUGACUGGCGAUUUGCCUUUGGCAUCCCCAGGGAAUGAUGAAGCAGACACGUUGGCCCAGGUGCGCUGGUUAGAAGGAAAGCCUGCCUCUGAUGUCGCCCAGUGGUUACAUUAGCAUUUUGUUGCACAUGGGGCAAAAGACAAUGUGGGCUGUAGCCUGUCAGUGGGACUUGCCAUUGACCUUUGAAGAAGUCAGCAGGGCCUGGAAGGAGUGCCCUGUGUGCUCCAAGAGGGACUUACACCGAGUCCUGCAGCAACAUGGGACAAUAGUAAAGGGGAAGAUACCCCUUGUCAGGUGGCAGAUAGACUACAUUGGACCUCUGCCCAUAUCAGAAGGAUAUUGGUAUGCCAUGACUUGUGUGGACAUGGCUACUGGACUAUUGGUUGCUUUUCCUUCACAUCAUGCAGAUCGGCAAACCACCAAGAGGGGCCUGGAGUGUCUCUUUGCAGCCUAUGGCUGGCUGCAGGUGAUUGAGAGUGAUCAUGGCACCCACUUUACUGGACAUCUGUUACAAGAAUGGGUGCAGCAAUUAGGAAUAAAGUGGAAAUUUCAUGUACCAUAUAACCCUACUGGGGCAGGCAUGAUAGAGAGGUACAACAGUUUGUUGAAAUCUGGCCUCAGGUUGGACACCAAUAGUCUACGGGGCUGGUCAGUUCGCCUAUGGACUGUGCUACAGCGUUUGAAUGAGAAGCCCCGAAAGGGAGCCUUGAGCCCCGUGGAUAUGCUAGCACACAUUGCUGCCUCUCCUAUACAACUGUUCGUGCAAACCAAAGAGGAGUUACUGAAGCCAGGAUAUGGCCAGCAGAGCAACAUCCUGUUGCCAGCCCCAACUGCAUUAAACCCUAGAGACACUGUUUAGUGGAUGUGGCCCUGGACAUUUCGACACACGGACCAGUGAUGGCUGGCCCUUCUGGCAUGUUGGGGUAAGGCCUGGAAGCUGGCCUCAUGCAUAUUUCUGGAGUAAUGGCAGAGUGGUCCUCAAAGAUCACGGUAGUGUAUCCAAAACAUCCAGGAGGGACUGUGGCCUGGAUGCACCCCCCUGACUGUAGCUGCUGCGUGAUGAUUGCUCUGAACUCCCUACGUGUUCAGCUAUUGCCUGCUUGUGGAAUGGGCUGAGAAGAGCCCAUGCCUGAAGAGAGGCCCCACGCACCAUUGAGAAGAAGGCUGAGGGAUGUUGUGUUGCCCCAGGGGUGCCUGGGUGCAUCAGGGCCGGGAAUCAGCAUGCUGAGCUGUGUCCAGUAGCCACGAAUGAGGAAACUGAGGCUCCAAGAAGUAAAGUGAUUCAUUGGAGGUCACCAGUCAGUGGUGGAGCUGGGAAGCAAGUGGUUGAAUCUUUAUUUCCGAAUCUCCUAAACUCUCAGUGACCCAGGCCCUCAGUCCUCAUCUCUAGAGCCCCUGUCUCCAUCCCCAGGGCUCUAGCCCCCAGCAUCAAAUGCCCAGCAGCCAGCCCUUAUUCCAGGGAGCUAGACUCCAGCCCCAGGCACUUUGCCUUCAGCCCCAGGACCCUGUUCCCAGGCACCUGGGCUCCAGGCCCAAACACCUGGUCUCAGUUUGGAUCCCCUCC